GACGAACGCUGGCGGCGGGCUUAACACAUGCAAGUCGAACGAAGCUUGAGGGCUUGCUCUCAAGCUUAGUGGCGCACGGGUGAGUAACACGUAGGCAACCUACCCUUAGCUGGGGAAUAACCAGGGGAAACCCUGGCUAAUACCGCAUAAUGUCAAAGCGUCGCAUGGCGCCUUGAUCAAAGCCCCGGCGGCUGAGGAGU
This 200-nucleotide ribosomal RNA is filed under the name uncultured bacterium. RNAcentral describes it as "partial 16S ribosomal RNA". It matches the Rfam family "Bacterial small subunit ribosomal RNA", at positions 28 to 227 of the family's 1533-position model. The record is from RNAcentral.